AACGUAGGAGGCGAGCGUUAUCCGGAUUCACUGGGCGUAAAGCGCGCGUAGGCGGUUUGGUAAGUCGGACGUGAAAGCCCCUGGCUCAACUGGGGGAGGCCGUUCGAUACUGCCAGGCUUGAGGGUGAGAGAGGAGAGUGGAAUUCCCGGUGUAGCGGUGGAAUGCGUAGAGAUCGGGAGGAACACCAGUGGCGAAGGCGACUCUCUGGCUCACCCCUGACGCCGAUAGCGCGAAAGCGUGGGUAGCAAACGGG
This 254-nucleotide ribosomal RNA is filed under the name uncultured bacterium. Its description in RNAcentral is "partial 16S ribosomal RNA". It matches the Rfam family "Bacterial small subunit ribosomal RNA", at positions 524 to 776 of the family's 1533-position model. The record is from RNAcentral.